RNAcentral lists this transfer RNA (78 nucleotides) under Candidatus Bathyarchaeota archaeon. Its description in RNAcentral is "tRNA-Pro". It matches the Rfam family "tRNA". From Rfam's summary of the family: Transfer RNA (tRNA) molecules are approximately 80 nucleotides in length. Their secondary structure includes four short double-helical elements and three loops (D, anti-codon, and T loops). Further hydrogen bonds mediate the characteristic L-shaped molecular structure. tRNAs have two regions of fundamental functional importance: the anti-codon, which is responsible for specific mRNA codon recognition, and the 3' end, to which the tRNAs corresponding amino acid is attached (by aminoacyl-tRNA synthetases). tRNAs cope with the degeneracy of the genetic code in two manners: having more than one tRNA (with a specific anti-codon) for a particular amino acid; and 'wobble' base-pairing, i.e. permitting non-standard base-pairing at the 3rd anti-codon position. The record is from RNAcentral. Lineage: Archaea; Thermoproteati; Candidatus Bathyarchaeota.
GGGGCGGUCGUCUAGCAUGGUUAUGAUUCCAGCUUGGGGUGCUGGAGGUCGCGGGUUCAAAUCCCGCCCGCCCCACCA